This 237-nucleotide unclassified non-coding RNA is filed under the name air metagenome. RNAcentral's name for it is "partial contains small subunit ribosomal RNA, internal transcribed spacer 1, and 5.8S ribosomal RNA". The stretch from base 1 to 46 matches the Rfam family "Eukaryotic small subunit ribosomal RNA", at positions 1786 to 1831 of the family's 1831-position model. The record is from RNAcentral.
AAGUCGUAACAAGGUUUCCGUAGGUGAACCUGCGGAAGGAUCAUUAAAGAUUCCGGCCUCACGGUCGAACCUCUUCAGCUGUGCGCUUCGGCUGCACGCUGUCGAACCUCUCACACCUGUGCACCGUCCGGUUGGGUCUCACUCGUGAGGCCCUCCCGCUUUUACAUUCAACCACAAGUCUCGCAUGUAACAAACCAUAACAUAUAACAACUUUCAACAACGGAUCUCUUGGCUCUC